RNAcentral lists this ribosomal RNA (301 nucleotides) under uncultured bacterium. Its description in RNAcentral is "partial 16S ribosomal RNA". It matches the Rfam family "Bacterial small subunit ribosomal RNA", at positions 509 to 808 of the family's 1533-position model. The record is from RNAcentral.
CAGUCGCCGCGGUAAUACGUAGGUCCCGAGCGUUGUCCGGAUUUAUUGGGCGUAAAGCGAGCGCAGGCGGUUAGAUAAGUCUGAAGUUAAAGGCUGUGGCUUAACCAUAGUACGCUUUGGAAACUGUUUAACUUGAGUGCAAGAGGGGAGAGUGGAAUUCCAUGUGUAGCGGUGAAAUGCGUAGAUAUAUGGAGGAACACCGGUGGCGAAAGCGGCUCUCUGGCUUGUAACUGACGCUGAGGCUCGAAAGCGUGGGGAGCAAACAGGAUUAGAGACCCGCGUAGUCCCUGUCUCUUAUACA